This is a long non-coding RNA of Mauremys reevesii (Reeves's turtle), 485 nucleotides long. RefSeq lists it as uncharacterized. The record is from RefSeq and is a predicted model, not a curated record. NCBI's taxonomy places the organism in Eukaryota, Metazoa, Chordata, Testudines, Geoemydidae. The transcript is spliced from 3 exons.
UUUGGGGUUGUGGAUCAUCCCAAAGGCAGCGCUGGCAAGGCUGCUGGAGGUUAGAGAAGCUCUGCAGAGGUGCAACACACAGCGUGUCUUCUCACCUGCAAGUCUCGAGGUGCUUUACCAAGGUGAACUGGAGCCAAUAGGCUGAACAUGGGGCUGGACACUUGGAAUCGCUGCAGUCUAAUCCUGUCUCUGACACUGACCCGCUGGAUGCCUUGGGCUCCAUGGAACCUUUUGUGACAGAUCUGACGUGCUUGGAUAGAAGCUCAGCUGAAAGAACACGAACAACACGACAAACCCACUUUGCAACAUGCCUAUGGCCAAAUUCUGCCCUUGAGUGCACAUGCCUGGUUCCCAAUGAAGGCAACAUGGGCAACAACAGAGUGAACUCCCCUCUGCCCUGGGAUGACUCGUGUGUGUUUGGCCUGUUAUUAUGUUUGCUCAGACUGUUGCUGACUUAGUCGUUUCAUGGUUAUUACAUGUUUUGA